UUCUGAGCAGAAUAUUUGGAACGUAGUAGAAUAAUCAGUGUGCAAAAAUACUACGAGUAUUGUGUAAAUAAAUAUUUCGCUAAAAAUAAAUUAGAGUGCGAUACUCUGCUUAUGAGUAAAAUAUUCAGAUCGUUGUAGAAAAUAAUCAGUGUGCAAAAAAUAAAAUACUACGAGUAUUGUGCAAAGAAAUGUUUUGCUAAAAACAAAUUAGUACUUACUAAAGCCUUAAACUGUGCACACGGCUGAAUAUGAAAUUUAAAGAAACUAUACAAAAUUGUAAAAAAAUAUUAUACAGUAGUAAAACUUGCAGUAGUUUGCACACCGUACUACAGUAGUAAAAACAGUUUAAAAACGAGUAUAUAACAUUUGUCACAAUGAACAACUCGACAAAAAUAAAAUCAACUCGUUGGAAGUUUAAUAUAACUUGAAGUGAUAUUAAAAAAUAAUAGUUUAAUUUUCUAAUAGAAAUUAUUAAAAACGCAAAUAUGGUCUGCAAAAAUUGUUGUGCUAAUUGUAAAUGUACCGCCGACAAAUGUGGUGAUAAGUGUGCCUGCGAUCAACACUGCAAGUGUCCUUGCAAGUCAGGCUCAAAGGAUGAGUGCUGCAAAAAAUGAAAAUCUGUUAUGACUUAAUAUAUUUAAAGCAAAAUAAAUACUUAAUUCCAAUAAAAUGUAUACAAAAUUACCAACAACACAAAAUUAA
Molecule: long non-coding RNA, 702 nt
Organism: Calliphora vicina (urban bluebottle blowfly)
Lineage: Eukaryota; Metazoa; Arthropoda; Insecta; Diptera; Calliphoridae
Exons: 2
Source: RefSeq, a predicted model, not a curated record